Rhododendron vialii is the source of this 504-nucleotide long non-coding RNA. RefSeq lists it as uncharacterized. The record is from RefSeq and is a predicted model, not a curated record. NCBI's taxonomy places the organism in Eukaryota, Viridiplantae, Streptophyta, Magnoliopsida, Ericales, Ericaceae. The transcript is spliced from 2 exons.
GAUAGAUAGUAUAAGCAUUGAAGGGAAACAAUCUGGGCAACAAUGAGCCAUGGAUCCCACACCACUGCACCAUAGAACAUGACUUCAACCCCUUUUGAAGAAAACCCAAUUCGCAAAACGCAAAAAGCUUCCAAACUCAAUGCAACCCUAUAGAAUCAAUCCGAAGGGUUGCUUUCAAGAACCCAAAAAUCCAAUCUUUAGGGUUCAAAUUCAAAUCUGAACCCGAGUUGAUCUUGAUGAACCAAAACCAAGAAAUCUUCAACAAUUGUCGAACCAAAUCACGAGAAUUGAAGUGAUGACAAAUCUCUGAUUGAAAUCAAAACAAACAUAGACAGAGAACCUGAAUUAUAUGGAUUGGAACGAAAUUCACAAGUGGGUCAAAGUGGGGAGGCCGUGGAAGCUGCAGAUACAAGUGAAGCACAACCCGAGAGAGAGAGAGAGAGGUUUCUCUUCGACAGAUGCGUAUAGAGCAACGGAUCUAUGAAUAAAAGAGAGGUGCCAGGG